RNAcentral lists this ribosomal RNA (496 nucleotides) under uncultured bacterium. RNAcentral's name for it is "partial 16S ribosomal RNA". It matches the Rfam family "Bacterial small subunit ribosomal RNA", at positions 30 to 523 of the family's 1533-position model. The record is from RNAcentral.
AUUGAACGCUGGCGGAAUGCUUUACACAUGCAAGUCGAACGGUAGAGGGGGCAACCCCUCGAGAGUGGCGAACGGGUGAGUAAUAUAUCGGAACGUGCCCAGUCGUGGGGGAUAACGUAGCGAAAGUUACGCUAAUACCGCAUACGAUCUAAGGAUGAAAGCGGGGGACCGUAAGGCCUCGCGCGAUCGGAGCGGCCGAUGUCAGAUUAGGUAGUUGGUGGGGUAAAGGCCCACCAAGCCGACGAUCUGUAGCUGGUCUGAGAGGACGACCAGCCACACUGGGACUGAGACACGGCCCAGACUCCUACGGGAGGCAGCAGUGGGGAAUUUUGGACAAUGGGCGAAAGCCUGAUCCAGCAAUGCCGCGUGCAGGAAGAAGGCCUUCGGGUUGUAAACUGCUUUUGUACGGAGCGAAAAGGUCCUUUCUAAUACAAGGGGCUCAUGACGGUACCGUAAGAAUAAGCACCGGCUAACUACGUGCCAGCCGCCGCGGUAA